AAUUAUUCAGAAUUUAAUGUCAGAUGUCAUACGUCAACGCAGAACAGAUAAAAGCAGAUUUAAAUAUCCGACUUUGUCAGUCAGCUGUUUCUACUAGGCCAACAAUGGAUGGGUGACACCUAUACCAUGAAAAAAUUCUUUUUGUGUUUGUGUAACGUGUAAUGUGGCCGUUUUUCUGUUUUUGCUGUUUGGGGUUGUACGGAGGAUAUCCAACCAAAAGUUAUUUUCACAAGAUGCAAAUGUUAACACCUCAAUUUUGUAGCGGUACUUUUUUAACAAUUGACCAUUAGCUCCGAUGAUGACAUUUAUGUCGAAAGCGCUCAGCUAAAGAAAUAAAUUAUUUACACACUUUGA
Molecule: long non-coding RNA, 354 nt
Organism: Diabrotica virgifera virgifera (western corn rootworm)
Lineage: Eukaryota; Metazoa; Arthropoda; Insecta; Coleoptera; Chrysomelidae
Exons: 2
Source: RefSeq, a predicted model, not a curated record